Molecule: ribosomal RNA, 253 nt
Filed under: uncultured bacterium
Lineage: Bacteria
Description: partial 16S ribosomal RNA
Rfam family: Bacterial small subunit ribosomal RNA
Source: RNAcentral
UACGUAGGAUCCGAGCGUUGUCCGGAAUUACUGGGUGUAAAGGGCGUGUAGGUGGGUUCCUAAGUCGAUGGUGAAAUCCUGCAGCUUAACUGCAGAACUGCCCUCGAUACUGGGGAUCUUGAGUGCGGCAGAGGGAGAUGGAAUUCAUGGUGUAGCGGUGAAAUGUGUAGAUAUCAUGAAGAACACCGGUAGCGAAGGCGGUCUCCUGGUCCGCAACUGACACUGAGGCGCGAAAGCGUGGGGAGCAAACAGG